GUCUCUUGAGUAUGAGGAGUACAUUUGCCUUCCAAGCAGAAAGAUUAGAUUGAUCUAAAAGAGAUA
This 66-nucleotide transfer RNA is filed under the name Oncomelania hupensis hupensis. Its description in RNAcentral is "tRNA-Gly". Lineage: Eukaryota; Metazoa; Mollusca; Gastropoda; Littorinimorpha; Pomatiopsidae. The record is from RNAcentral. RNAcentral also lists the same sequence under 1 other name.